Molecule: ribosomal RNA, 321 nt
Filed under: uncultured eukaryote
Lineage: Eukaryota
Description: partial 18S ribosomal RNA
Rfam family: Eukaryotic small subunit ribosomal RNA
Source: RNAcentral
CCCUUAGAUGUUCUGGGCCGCACGCGUGCUACACUGAGUGGAUCAGCGGGUCAGGUUGCGCGAAAGCGUUUCCUAAUCUUUAAAUCCGCUCGUGAUGGGGAUUGACGGUUGCAAUUUUCUGUCAUGAACGAGGAAUACCUUGUAAGCGCGGGUCAUCAUCCCGCGCUGAAUACGUCCCUGCCCUUUGUACACACCGCCCGUCGCUCCUACCGAUUGAGUGGUCCGGUGAAUAAUUCGGACUGCAGCAGUGCUUGGUCCUCCGGGCUUUGCAGCGGAAAGUUUAGUGAACCUUAUCACUUAGAGGAAGGAGAAGUCGUAACA